RNAcentral lists this long non-coding RNA (652 nucleotides) under Carica papaya (papaya). RNAcentral describes it as "long non-coding RNA (CPAP_LNC005460)". Lineage: Eukaryota; Viridiplantae; Streptophyta; Magnoliopsida; Brassicales; Caricaceae. The record is from RNAcentral.
UUGGACGGUUUAGAUCAAACGCGAUGGACGGUCUAGAUCAAAAGCAUACGGAUAUAAAUAACUCUUAUUUGCACCAAACCCUAACCUUAGCUGCCAGAACCUCUCGCCGGAGAAGAAAAUCGGGCUGUCAGGAAGUAGACCGCCACCACCCGCCGCCGCACCAAAACCCUUUUUGAUCGCCAAAAAGGAUAAAAACUUUUUUUUUUGCUCAAAAUUCAAUUUUAAGCACACCCAUGGCUAAAUUGGAGCAAAAAGACUGGUCAAUUGGACGAAAAAUGCCCACGAAGGUCGGCGGCGCCGUUGCGGGGAAUUUCACAAAAUGCCUCCGAUAAGGUCCUUUUCGAUUCCAGUUAUGUGUAAUUUUUCUACCGUUGUGACCAUGUCCUUCUCUACAGGUUGACCAAAGGAAAACACCCAACUGUGACGUGAGUCGGAGGAGCUGCCGCACUAGAGAGCCCUACCGCCAGUGAGUUUUAAUUUUUUGUGUUUUUUUCGACCAACUGAGACCCUUUAACGUGUUUUCUUGCAAAGAUCGAUGCAAAAUCAGCUGAGAACGGCCGACCCGAGGUGGACCGUCGUCGAUGUCAUUAGAGCACGCGGAGCCGCCGUGCUGGAAUUUUAAAAUUUGCCAAGUUUGUCCUGGGACUAAUUU